Pantherophis guttatus is the source of this 440-nucleotide non-coding RNA. The record is from RefSeq and is a predicted model, not a curated record. Lineage: Eukaryota; Metazoa; Chordata; Lepidosauria; Squamata; Colubridae.
AGGAACACAAUUAGACAAGCACUAAUCUGGGGAGGAGCAAGAACUUAUAUACAGAGAAGGCGGGGCUAAUGGCUCGUUCUGGGCAUGCUCAGUCCUCAUUUUUCUCCAGCAGUCGAUGAGGGAGGUUCCUGUGUCUGCAGCUCCUGGGGUGAAGUCCCAGACGGCCUUCUGUUGCUCUGCUUUGUUUCUGGAGGGCCUCUGGUGACUGAAGAAUGCCUGGGGUGCUGCUCUGCUCAUCGGGAGUCUUCUCUGAGGUCGUCAGUAAGUGGAGCUUGAGGCGGGCCGCCAUUGCCAAUGGAGCCGGGUUGUUCAGGGAGCUGCUCUUCAGUAGGAACACAAUUAGACAAGCACUAAUCUGGGAGGAGCAAGAACUUAUAUACAGAGAAGGCGGGGCUAAUGGUAAGUACUAACCAAUGGUAAGUGACACAAUGACAUCACAC